AGACCAGGACAGAGAGAGCAUUUGAUUCGAAAUGGCUCGUGCGGUGUCAAUAAAAUCAGCAAUCUUCGUGGCCAUGAUCCUAGAGGCCGUGUUUAUCGGAUUCAGCAGACCAGACUCCACGCCAAGCUCGACUGAAUCCUCCGAAUUAAACUUUACCGUGGAGACCUGUAAUGAAACGUGCAAUCCUUCUCAAAAUCUAACGUGCUCAAGUACAGACUGCUUUUGCGGACUUAAGAACAAUGAGACCGUAGGGAUAUGCUACAGCUGGUCAUUUUCAGGAAUGGAUUACGGAGAGAUGCCUUCAUCCGACGAGAUAACGGAGGCCGCGCCAAUAUAUUACAAUGCUACUAAAUAAAGUACUUUUGUCAUUCACGACA
Molecule: long non-coding RNA, 377 nt
Organism: Dermacentor albipictus
Lineage: Eukaryota; Metazoa; Arthropoda; Arachnida; Ixodida; Ixodidae
Source: RefSeq, a predicted model, not a curated record